AGCUUUGCGCAGUGGCAGUAUCGUAGCCAGUGAGGUGAAUCCGAGGCACGAUUAUUGCUGUAAAUUUUU
This 69-nucleotide small nuclear RNA is filed under the name Podiceps cristatus (great crested grebe). RNAcentral's name for it is "U4 spliceosomal RNA". It matches the Rfam family "U4 spliceosomal RNA", at positions 1 to 73 of the family's 138-position model. Rfam says of the family: U4 small nuclear RNA (U4 snRNA) is a component of the major U2-dependent spliceosome. The structure of U4 snRNA from yeast and human has been reported. U4 snRNA presents a k-turn RNA motif in the 5p-SL related to recognition of Snu13 protein. The record is from Rfam by way of RNAcentral. Lineage: Eukaryota; Metazoa; Chordata; Aves; Podicipediformes; Podicipedidae.